CCGUGCUCCACGGGGACCUUGCGGAUCUCUCGACCCGAACGCAUAGCGGGGUGCAGAGCCUAUUGUGAGACUUGUAUGAAUACGGCAGACUUUAUAUAUACCGUUGAUAGCGCAGGUAUUUAUGGCAUAGUCCAUCGAACCGUGUCAGGACGGGAACGUAGCAGCACUAAGGUGUAAACUAUGGGUGUAUUUAUUUUCGAAGUAGGUAUAUAUAAAGAAACCCUUAUUUAUAUUUGACGAUAGAUAGUGGCACGG
Molecule: signal recognition particle RNA, 255 nt
Filed under: Candidatus Avigastranaerophilus faecigallinarum
Lineage: Bacteria; Bacillati; Candidatus Melainabacteria; Candidatus Gastranaerophilales; Candidatus Gastranaerophilaceae
Description: signal recognition particle sRNA large type
Rfam family: Bacterial large signal recognition particle RNA
About the family: The signal recognition particle (SRP) is a universally conserved ribonucleoprotein involved in the co-translational targeting of proteins to membranes. Archaeal SRP consists of a 7S RNA and homologues of the eukaryotic SRP19 and SRP54 proteins.
Source: RNAcentral